Molecule: ribosomal RNA, 245 nt
Filed under: uncultured bacterium
Lineage: Bacteria
Description: partial 16S ribosomal RNA
Rfam family: Bacterial small subunit ribosomal RNA
Source: RNAcentral
AGUAACACGUGGAUAACCUGCCUUAUACUGGGGGAUAACAGCCAGAAAUGGCUGCUAAUACCGCAUAAGCGCACGGCGCCGCAUGGCGCAGUGUGAAAAACUCCGGUGGUAUAAGAUGGAUCCGCGCCUGAUUAGCUAGUUGGCGGGGCAGCGGCCCACCAAGGCGACGAUCAGUAGCCGGCCUGAGAGGGCGACCGGCCACAUUGGGACUGAGACACGGCCCAAACUCCUACGGGAGGCAGCAG